Molecule: ribosomal RNA, 367 nt
Filed under: uncultured bacterium RSa40
Lineage: Bacteria; Bacillati; Bacillota; Clostridia; Eubacteriales; Clostridiaceae
Description: bacterial SSU rRNA
Rfam family: Bacterial small subunit ribosomal RNA
Source: RNAcentral
GGAACGGAUUAGCGGCGGACGGGUGAGUACCACGUGGGUAACCUGCCUCAUAGAGGGGAAUAGCCUUCCGAAAGGAAGAUUAAUACCGCAUAAGAUUGUAGUUUCGCAUGAAACAGCAAUUAAAGGAGUAAUCCGCUAUGAGAUGGACCCGCGUCGCAUUAGCUAGUUGGUGAGGUAACGGCUCACCAAGGCGACGAUGCGUAGCCGACCUGAGAGGGUGAUCGGCCACAUUGGGACUGAGACACGGCCCAGACUCCUACGGGAGGCAGCAGUGGGGAAUAUUGCACAAUGGGGGAAACCCUGAUGCAGCAACGCCGCGUGAGUGAUGACGGUCUUCGGAUUGUAAAACUCUGUCUUCAGGGACGAU